CGCGGCCUAUCAGCUUGUUGGUGAGGUAACGGCUCACCAAGGCGAUGACGGGUAGCUGGCGUGAGAGCGCGAUCAGCCACACUGGGACUGAGACACGGCCCAGACUCCUACGGGAGGCAGCAGUGGGGAAUCUUGCGCAAUGGGCGAAAGCCUGACGCAGCGACGCCGCGUGGGGGAGGAAGGCCCUAGGGUUGUAAACCCCUGUCAGGUGGGACGAACCGGGGAUCGGCGAAAGCCGGUUCCUCUGACGGUACCACCAGAGGAAGCUCCGGCUAACUCCGUGCCAGCAGCCGCGGUAAAACGGAGGGAGCGAGCGUUGUUCGGAAUUGCUGGGCGUAAAGGGCGCGUAGGCGGCCCUGUAAGUCGCAUGUGAAAGGCCGGGGCUCAACCCCGAGUAUUGCAUGCGAUACUGCAAGGCUAGAGACAGGUAGGGGCGAGCGGAAUUCCCGGUGUAGCGGUGGAAUGCGUAGAUAUCGGGAAGAACACCGGUGGCGAAGGCGGCUCGCUGGGCCUGUUCUGACGCUGAAGCGCGAAAGCGUGGGGAGCGAACAGGAUUAGAUACCCUGGUAGUCCACGCCGUAAACGCUGGGUACUAGACGUUGGGAGGCUUGGCCCUCUCGGUGUCGCAGCUAACGCAUUAAGUACCCCGCCUGGGGAGUACGG
This 663-nucleotide ribosomal RNA is filed under the name uncultured Actinomycetes bacterium. Its description in RNAcentral is "bacterial SSU rRNA". It matches the Rfam family "Bacterial small subunit ribosomal RNA", at positions 232 to 885 of the family's 1533-position model. The record is from RNAcentral. Lineage: Bacteria; Bacillati; Actinomycetota; Actinomycetes.